This 285-nucleotide long non-coding RNA is filed under the name Sorghum bicolor (sorghum). RNAcentral describes it as "long non-coding RNA (SBIC_LNC000882)". Lineage: Eukaryota; Viridiplantae; Streptophyta; Magnoliopsida; Poales; Poaceae. The record is from RNAcentral.
CAAAUUUUUGCCAAAAUAAAACUUGUUCAGAAUUUUGAAUGCUACAAAACAUCUUUAAGGGUCCAAGACUGAUUUUAAAUGGAAAGGGACGAAAUUGAACCAAACAGUUUGAAAUUCAAAUCUCAAAUUGGGAAAAAUUCCAAUUUUAAAUUGGGGCAGAUUAGAAAUUUCAAAAUUACUUUUGAUUUUCCAAAACAACUUGAAAAACUCCCAACAUGAAAGUUGUUCAACUUUUUGAGCCCUACAACUUUCAUGUUGACCAUUUUUCAAAAUUCCAAAUAGAUU